AUUGAACGCUGGCGGCAGGCCUAACACAUGCAAGUCGAACGAGUGGCGGACGGGUGAGUAAUGUCUGUGAAACUGCCCGAUGUAGGGGGAUAACUACUGGAAACGGUAUCUAAUACCGCCUACCAUCUGAUGUGCCCAGAUGGGAUUAGCUAGUAGGUGGGGUAACGGCUCACCUAGGCGACGAUCCCUAUCUGGUCUGAGAGGAUGAGCAGCAAAACUGGAACGGAGACACGGUCCAGACUCCUAAGGGAGGCAGCAGUGGGGAAUAUUGCACAAUGGGCGCAAGCCUGAUACAGCCAGGCCGAGUGUAUGAAGAAGGCCUUCGGGUUGUAAAGUACUUUCAGCGAGGAGGCGUUACUCGCAGAAGAAGCACCGGCUAACUCCGUGCCAGCAGCCGCGGUAAUAC
RNAcentral lists this ribosomal RNA (406 nucleotides) under uncultured bacterium. RNAcentral's name for it is "partial 16S ribosomal RNA". It matches the Rfam family "Bacterial small subunit ribosomal RNA", at positions 30 to 526 of the family's 1533-position model. The record is from RNAcentral.